RNAcentral lists this ribosomal RNA (465 nucleotides) under Vreelandella stevensii. Its description in RNAcentral is "partial 16S ribosomal RNA". It matches the Rfam family "Bacterial small subunit ribosomal RNA", at positions 338 to 795 of the family's 1533-position model. Lineage: Bacteria; Pseudomonadati; Pseudomonadota; Gammaproteobacteria; Oceanospirillales; Halomonadaceae. The record is from RNAcentral.
CCUACGGGACGCUGCAGUGGGGAAUAUUGGACAAUGGGCGAAAGCCUGAUCCAGCCAUGCCGCGUGUGUGAAGAAGGCCUUCGGGUUGUAAAGCACUUUCAGUGGGGAAGAAAGCCUUGGGGCUAAUACCCUCGAGGAAGGACAUCACCCACAGAAGAAGCACCGGCUAACUCCGUGCCAGCAGCCGCGGUAAUACGGAGGGUGCGAGCGUUAAUCGGAAUUACUGGGCGUAAAGCGCGCGUAGGCGGUCUGAUAAGCCGGUUGUGAAAGCCCCGGGCUCAACCUGGGAACGGCAUCCGGAACUGUCAGGCUAGAGUGCAGGAGAGGAAGGUAGAAUUCCCGGUGUAGCGGUGAAAUGCGUAGAGAUCGGGAGGAAUACCAGUGGCGAAGGCGGCCUUCUGGACUGACACUGACGCUGAGGUGCGAAAGCGUGGGUAGCAAACAGGAUUAGAUACCCUAGUAGUC